This 253-nucleotide ribosomal RNA is filed under the name uncultured bacterium. RNAcentral's name for it is "partial 16S ribosomal RNA". It matches the Rfam family "Bacterial small subunit ribosomal RNA", at positions 524 to 776 of the family's 1533-position model. RNAcentral also lists the same sequence under 1 other name. The record is from RNAcentral.
UACGUAGGUGGCAAGCGUUGUCCGGAUUUAUUGGGCGUAAAGCGCGCGCAGGUGGUUCGUUAAGUCCGGUGUGAAAGCUCCCGGCUCAACUGGGAGAGGCCAUUGGAUACUGGCGGACUUGAGGCAGGCAGAGGAAGGUGGAAUUCCCGGUGUAGUGGUGAAAUGCGUAGAUAUCGGGAGGAACACCAGUGGCGAAAGCGGCCUUCUGGGCCUGUCCUGACGCUGAGGCGCGAAAGCGUGGGGAGCGAACCGG